GUCGAGCGGAGAUGAGGUGCUUGCACCUUAUCUUAGCGGCGGACGGGUGAGUAAUGCUUAGGAAUCUGCCUAUUAGUGGGGGACAACAUUCCGAAAGGGAUGCUAAUACCGCAUACGUCCUACGGGAGAAAGCAGGGGACCUUCGGGCCUUGCGCUAUCAGAUGAGCCUAGGUCGGAUUAGCUAGUUGGUGAGGUAAUGGCUCACCAAGGCGACGAUCCGUAACUGGUCUGAGAGGAUGAUCAGUCACACUGGAACUGAGACACGGUCCAGACUCCUACGGGAGGCAGCAGUGGGGAAUAUUGGACAAUGGGCGAAAGCCUGAUCCAGCCAUGCCGCGUGUGUGAAGAAGGUCUUCGGAUUGUAAAGCACUUUAAGUUGGGAGGAAGGGCAGUAAAUUAAUACUUUGCUGUUUUGACGUUACCGACAGAAUAAGCACCGGCUAACUCUGUGCCAGCAGCCGCGGUAAU
RNAcentral lists this ribosomal RNA (468 nucleotides) under uncultured bacterium. RNAcentral's name for it is "bacterial SSU rRNA". It matches the Rfam family "Bacterial small subunit ribosomal RNA", at positions 61 to 524 of the family's 1533-position model. The record is from RNAcentral.